GAUCAUGGCUCAGGAUGAACGCUAGCGACAGGCUUAACACAUGCAAGUCGGGGGGCAGCAUGAACUUAGCUUGCUAAGUUUGAUGGCGACCGGCGCACGGGUGAGUAACGCGUAUGCAACUUACCUAUCAGAGGAGAAUAGCUCAUCGAAAGAUGAAUUAAUGCUCCAUAAAACAGUGGUCCCGCAUGGGAAUAUUUGUUAAAGAUUCAUCGCUG
RNAcentral lists this ribosomal RNA (215 nucleotides) under uncultured bacterium. RNAcentral's name for it is "partial 16S ribosomal RNA". It matches the Rfam family "Bacterial small subunit ribosomal RNA", at positions 15 to 220 of the family's 1533-position model. The record is from RNAcentral.